Molecule: non-coding RNA, 806 nt
Organism: Prunus avium (sweet cherry)
Lineage: Eukaryota; Viridiplantae; Streptophyta; Magnoliopsida; Rosales; Rosaceae
Source: RefSeq, a predicted model, not a curated record
UUUUGCCCUUGAAGUGGGGGCAAAAAGGUCAAUUUUUAUCCGGAGUGAUUUUGGGACGACAAGUGGUAUUUUUAGAUAGGUGGUACUGAGCCGAGUCCGUAGACACGGAGUAGGCUCGAUUCGAACUUGGAACGAGAAAGUUACGAUCGAAAAAUAUAGAGGACAUAUUUGGAAUUAUUUUUCGGAAAUUAUUUUUGGAUAAAAUCAGUUUUUUUCAGAAAUAAUAUCUCAUUUCUCUCUCCUCACUCUCUCUCUCCCGUGCGUCUCUCUCUCUCCCGUCGACUCUCUCCCUCUGCGACUAACCUAGCCACCAUCACAGACCACCCUAGCCCACGGCACCGGUACCAAAACAUCCGGCCAGACCUCCCCGACGCAACCCAGGCCGUCCUCCGCCCUCAGCCGUCGUCCAGCCGCCGGAAAACGCAAGGAAACAGUCGGAAACAGUCGCGAUUUUUCAGCCGCUCGUUCUCCGUCGUCCGGCCACCAUUUCCGACGCACGAGGUGAUCCGACUCCGCCUUCAGAGCAGGCAGGACCCUCUCGGGGUCGCGCAGCUUGGGACUACUUCCAGUAGUGACUGGAACGAGCUGCAGUGCCGUGUUUUGUACCCUGCUAUCACGAGCCGCAGUACUUGAGCUUGUCUCGGAGCCUCAGUGCUAUGUAAAUACGUAAACUACAUUUUUGCUAGUGUGUUGAAUUAUGUUAGAUGCUCUGUUAUUGCCCUGUUAGGAUUUGGUAUUUUGAGGCCGUAGGCCAUGUUCUAUAACACUAUACUUUGUGUAAUGCAUGCUGGCUGUUGGGUUGUAAA